This 238-nucleotide small RNA is filed under the name Pan troglodytes (chimpanzee). RNAcentral describes it as "processed transcript". Lineage: Eukaryota; Metazoa; Chordata; Mammalia; Primates; Hominidae. The record is from RNAcentral.
UCUGAUGAUGUGUGUAUUUCAGGGACCGGUCAGCGGCAACCACCUAUUUCUGCAAGCAGGCCCCAGAAGAGAACCAGCCCACCAAUGAAUUGCUGCAAGAGGAAUGGAUCCCUUUCCGUCGAGUUGAGGAAGGGGAGAAGGAAUUUCAUGUUCGGAAUCCCCAGGUGCAUCAGCGGGUAAGCGAGUGUUUACGGGUGUUGAAGAUCCUGCAAGAGGUCACUGCUGGGCAGACUGUCUU